UACGUAGGGGGCAAGCGUUAUCCGGAUUUACUGGGUGUAAAGGGAGCGUAGACGGCAGCGCAAGUCUGGAGUGAAGUGCCGGGGCCCAACCCCGGAACUGCUUUGGAAACUGUGCAGCUCGAGUGCAGGAGAGGUAAGCGGAAUUCCUAGUGUAGCGGUGAAAUGCGUAGAUAUUAGGAGGAACACCAGUGGCGAAGGCGGAUUGCUGGACAGUAACUGACGCUGAGGCGCGAAAGCGUGGGGAGCAAACAGG
Molecule: ribosomal RNA, 253 nt
Filed under: uncultured bacterium
Lineage: Bacteria
Description: partial 16S ribosomal RNA
Rfam family: Bacterial small subunit ribosomal RNA
Source: RNAcentral